CCCUUAGACGUUCUGGGCCGCACGCGCGCUACACUGACCAGUGCAACAAGCAUCCGUCCUUGGCCGACAGGCCCGGGCAAUCUUUGAACGCUGGUCGUGAUGGGGAUAGACUUUUGCAAUUUUUGGUCUUCAACGAGGAAUUCCUAGUAAACGCAAGUCAUCAACUUGCAUUGAUUACGUCCCUGCCCUUUGUACACACCGCCCGUCGCACCUACCGAUUGAAUGGUCCGGUGAAGCCUCGGGAUUGUGGUUCUUGCCGCUUUAUUGUGGCGUGACCGCGAGAACUUGUCUAAACCUUAUCAUCUAGAGGAAGGUGAAGUCGUAACA
This 327-nucleotide ribosomal RNA is filed under the name uncultured eukaryote. RNAcentral describes it as "partial 18S ribosomal RNA". It matches the Rfam family "Eukaryotic small subunit ribosomal RNA", at positions 1470 to 1796 of the family's 1831-position model. The record is from RNAcentral.